GACGAACGCUGGCGGCGUGCUUAACACAUGCAAGUCGAACGGACAGGCCCUGCUUUUGUUGGUUGCUCGUUUGGCGAACGGGUGAGUAACACGUGUGUAACCUGCCCUUGUCUUUGUGAUAACUUCUGGAAACUGGGGCUAAUACCCGAUAUGAGCUCCUGCUGCAUGGUGGGGGUUGGUAAAUUUCGGCGGUUGGGGCUCGUCUGGAGGCUUAUCAGCUUGUUGGUGGGGUAGUGGCUUACCAAGGGUUUGACGGGUAGCCGGCCUGAGAGGGGGAACGGCGACAAGGGGACUGAGAGACGGCCCAGACGGGAACGGGAGGCAGCAGUGGGGAAUAUGGCACAAUGGGCGGAAGCCAGAGGCAGCAACGCCGCGUGCGGGAUGACGGCCUUCGGGUGGUAAACCGAUGUCGAAGGAGACGAAGAGUGAGUGACGGUAAUGGGUAAAGAAGCACCGGCUAACUACGUG
RNAcentral lists this ribosomal RNA (468 nucleotides) under uncultured bacterium. Its description in RNAcentral is "partial 16S ribosomal RNA". It matches the Rfam family "Bacterial small subunit ribosomal RNA", at positions 28 to 507 of the family's 1533-position model. The record is from RNAcentral.